This 424-nucleotide ribosomal RNA is filed under the name Klebsiella pneumoniae. RNAcentral describes it as "partial 23S ribosomal RNA". It matches the Rfam family "Bacterial large subunit ribosomal RNA", at positions 419 to 847 of the family's 2925-position model. Lineage: Bacteria; Pseudomonadati; Pseudomonadota; Gammaproteobacteria; Enterobacterales; Enterobacteriaceae. RNAcentral also lists the same sequence under 1 other name. The record is from RNAcentral.
GGGACACGUGGUAUCCUGUCUGAAUAUGGGGGGACCAUCCUCCAAGGCUAAAUACUCCUGACUGACCGAUAGUGAACCAGUACCGUGAGGGAAAGGCGAAAAGAACCCCGGCGAGGGGAGUGAAAAAGAACCUGAAACCGUGUACGUACAAGCAGUGGGAGCACCUUCGGGUGUGACUGCGUACCUUUUGUAUAAUGGGUCAGCGACUUAUAUUCUGUAGCAAGGUUAACCGUAUAGGGGAGCCGCAGGGAAACCGAGUCUUAACUGGGCGUUAAGUUGCAGGGUAUAGACCCGAAACCCGGUGAUCUAGCCAUGGGCAGGUUGAAGGUUGGGUAACACUAACUGGAGGACCGAACCGACUAAUGUUGAAAAAUUAGCGGAUGACUUGUGGCUGGGGGUGAAAGGCCAAUCAAACCGGGAGAUA